Molecule: long non-coding RNA, 631 nt
Organism: Gossypium arboreum
Lineage: Eukaryota; Viridiplantae; Streptophyta; Magnoliopsida; Malvales; Malvaceae
Exons: 4
Source: RefSeq, a predicted model, not a curated record
AUGUUUGCUUCUUUCUCAUGCCCAAUGCUUCCCCCCAACCCAAAAUUGAUUUCCCAAUUCUCUAAUUUCUUCUAAUCCCUAAAUUUCAGCCAAAAGAAUUAGCACCCAAGAAACCUAAGACCAGACCCCUUUCAUGCAAACGGAAACUGUCUCUACAAUUCCAAUUCAUGCGUUUUUAAGCAAGGAUAUAUAAGUUGAGAAGCUUUGGAAGCCAUUUGAGCAACGCCUGCCAUGAACAAGCAUGUAAUGGAAUCUUCAUGUUCAUAGGCUCAAGAGCUUAGAGGGCCACAAUUGGAUAAGGGGAAGGAAAAAGUGAUCGAAUAGCCGUCAAAGCCGUUCGACAACAUCCGAGAUUUUGCUCGUAGCAAUCGGAUUCGGGAUCAUUAAAGUCGAAGUCAUCUACACUAUCAAAGCCUCCAUUUUGGUAUAAUUUUGGUUGAACUUUGAAAUGGCAUGUUAGGACUACCCUAAUGUUGAAGGUCAUGUACCUUUCGGUUUUGUGUAAGCUUGGAUAGCCAUGCGAAAAUGGCUUAUAUACGUUUUUAGUAUGAUUCUAUAAUAGUUUGUAUGAUAAUCAUUAUGGGGUAUGAAAUUGUUUGAAAGGAUUAGCCAUUGGAAUGGUUAAUCAUAA